AGCUUUGCACAGUGGCAGUAUCGUAGCCAAUGAGAUGUAUCCGAGGUGUGAUUAUUGCUAAUUGAUAUGGAUUCUUGGAAAAUCUUGAGGACUUUAAUACUACUAUGCACCAUCUAUUUUGGUGUUUCACUUUAGAUCUUUAUUGCCUUUUUAAAUGAAA
This 160-nucleotide small nuclear RNA is filed under the name Dasypus novemcinctus (nine-banded armadillo). RNAcentral describes it as "U4 spliceosomal RNA (ENSDNOG00000030223.1)". The stretch from base 1 to 68 matches the Rfam family "U4 spliceosomal RNA". The record is from RNAcentral. Lineage: Eukaryota; Metazoa; Chordata; Mammalia; Cingulata; Dasypodidae.